This 312-nucleotide long non-coding RNA is filed under the name Gossypium raimondii (Peruvian cotton). RNAcentral describes it as "long non-coding RNA (GRAI_LNC003659)". Lineage: Eukaryota; Viridiplantae; Streptophyta; Magnoliopsida; Malvales; Malvaceae. The record is from RNAcentral.
CUUUUCGGGUUUUCAACUCAAAUCCACCAUUGGUCAAAGUGCCAUUUGCGGGUUUUCCCCUUGGUCUCUCAUUUUCUUUUUUCUUUUUGUCAUUUUGAUUUUGAUUUUUUCUUUUUUCUUUCUUUUUAUUUUGAUUUUUUUAUUUUGAUUUUUUAUUAAAUUUUUUAUUUCGAUUUUUCUUUUCUUUUUUGAUUUUGAUUGUGAUUUUUUUUGAUUUAAUCUGAACUCAUAGGAUUAGGCAAGUCCUUGUUAUCCCCUUUUGAUCAGAACCAAUGUUUUCUCAAUAGAGUCUCCCACAUAAGAUCUUCCACU